This 261-nucleotide long non-coding RNA is filed under the name Aotus nancymaae (Ma's night monkey). Its description in RNAcentral is "lncRNA (ENSANAG00000039538.1)". The record is from RNAcentral. Lineage: Eukaryota; Metazoa; Chordata; Mammalia; Primates; Aotidae.
AUGCUAAAAGGAAAGCUUAGAUGGGAUCUGUGGUCAGGGACAAUUUCUACUUCUGAAGAUGAAAUUCCUCCUGUACUUUCUUCAUCAGUCUCUUCUAAAGUUUCCAUUCUCAGGGUUCUGCUAAUUCAAACUCUUCUUGUCAGCAGAAUUCAGUAUACAAUCCAAAAAGAAGAGAACAAGAUUCCAUAUAAUGCGCUGUUCCGAGGAAAUGUUAACAGAAGGAGUGUCACUCUAUCACCAAGCUGGAGUGCAAUGGCAUGA